Non-coding RNA from Mycena capillaripes, 91 nucleotides. The record is from the annotation of a GenBank genome assembly. NCBI's taxonomy places the organism in Eukaryota, Fungi, Basidiomycota, Agaricomycetes, Agaricales, Mycenaceae.
GGGUGCGUGGCGCAAUGGCUAGCGUGUUUGGCUUCGAUGCCCUGUACGUAAUCCGACCAAAAGGCUGCAGGUUCGAGUCCUGCCGUGCUCA